UACGGAGGAUGCAAGCGUUAUCCGGAUUUAUUGGGUCUAAAGGGUGCGCAGGCGGCUUGUUAAGCGUGAGGUGAAAUGCCCGGGCUCAACCUGGGAAUUGCCUCGCGAACUGGCUGGCUUGAAUGCCCCUGCCGUGGGAGGAAUGUGUGGUGUAGCGGUGAAAUGCAUAGAGAUCACACAGAACACCGAUUGCGAAGGCAUCUCACGAAGGGGUGAUUGACGCUGAGGCACGAAAGCGUGGGGAUCAAGC
Molecule: ribosomal RNA, 250 nt
Filed under: uncultured prokaryote
Description: partial 16S ribosomal RNA
Rfam family: Bacterial small subunit ribosomal RNA
Source: RNAcentral